RNAcentral lists this ribosomal RNA (1432 nucleotides) under metagenome. Its description in RNAcentral is "bacterial SSU rRNA". It matches the Rfam family "Archaeal small subunit ribosomal RNA". The record is from RNAcentral.
ACCCGUUGAUCCUGCGGGAGGUUGCUGCUAUCGGGAUUCGACUAAGCCAUGCAAGUCAAGGGGGUCUUUCGGGACCACCGGCAGAAUGCUCAGUAACACGUCGAUAAUCUGCCCUAAGGUCUAGGAUAGCCUCGGAAAACUGGGGGUAAACCUGGAUAGGGGACUAUAUCUGGAAUGAUUUGUCCUUCAAAAGAAAUGCCUUAGGAUGAGUCGGCGGUCGAUUAGGUUGUUGGCGGGGUAAUGGCCCACCAAGCCAAAGAUCGAUAGGGGCCUUGAGAGAGGUAGCCCCGAGAAGGGCACUGAGAUACUGGCCCUAGCCCUACGGGGUGCAGCAGGCGCGAAACCUCUACAAUGCACGAAAGUGUGAUAGGGGAAUCCCGAGUGCUUACACUCUGUGUAGGCUUUUUCUAAGAGUAAACACCUUAGAGAAUAAGUGGUGGGUAAGACUGGUGCCAGCCGCCGCGGUAACACCAGCGCCACGAGUGGCAACCGCUUUUAUUGGGCCUAAAGCGUCCGUAGCCGGCCCGGCAAGUCUUUUGUGAAAUCAUUGGGCUUAACUCAAUGGCGAGCAGAAGAUACUACUGGGCUUGGAACCGGGAGGAGCUAGAAGUAUUUUUGGGGGAACGGUAAAAUGUUAUAAUCCCAAAAGGACUACCUGUGGCGAAGGCGUCUAGCUAGAACGGAUUCGACGGUGAGGGACGAAAGCCAGGGGAGCAAAACGGAUUAGAUACCCGAGUAGUCCUGGCUGUAAACUCUGCGAGCUAGGUGUUGCAUAUUCUUCGGAGUAUGCAGUGUCGAAGCGAAGGUGUUAAGCUCGCCGCCUGGGAAGUAUAGUCGCAAGACCGAAACUUAAAGGAAUUGGCGGGGGAGCACUACAAGGGGUGCGGCGUGCGGUUUAAUCUAACUCAACGCAGAAAAUCUCACCAGAGGCGACGGCAGGAUGAAAGUCAGUCUAAAGGGCUUACUUGACGAGCCGAGAGGUAGUGCAUGGCCGCCGUCAGCUCGUGCUGUAAGGUGUCCUGUUAAGUCAGGCAACGAGCGAGACCUGUAUCCACAAUUGCUAACGACCACUGGGAUCGAGCACAUUGUGGGGACUGCCCUCGAAAGGGGGAGGAAGGUGUAGGCAACGGUAGGUCUGUAUGCUCCGAAUCUUCUGGGCUACACGCGCGCAACAAUGGUAAGGACAAUGGGAUGCAACUCCGAAAGGAGGAGCUAAACCUCGAAACCCUAUCCAAGUUCAGAUUGAGGAUUGUAACCCAUCCUCAUGACGAUGGAAUCCCUAGUAAUUGGAUCUCAUCACGGUCCAGUGAAUAUGUCCCUGCUCCUUGCACACACCGCCCGUCAAACCAACCGAGCAGGGUUUAGAUGAGGAUUAAUUUCUUGAUUAAGUCGAAUCUAAGCUCAGAGAGGUGGGUUAAGUCGUCACAAGGUA